RNAcentral lists this long non-coding RNA (1426 nucleotides) under Helianthus annuus (common sunflower). The record is from RNAcentral. Lineage: Eukaryota; Viridiplantae; Streptophyta; Magnoliopsida; Asterales; Asteraceae.
UUCUCUUUCUUGCCAUCUCCCUGUCUCCUUAUUUCAUCCAUAAUUUACCCCUAAAUCCUACAAAGCCCUGCCCUAUUUUAAGUGUUUUAACCCUUGAUCACUGAUACCCUGUCCGACUGACGUAGGGCUCCGUAACGUAUCUCAAGGCUCUGCCUAAAUAUGUUGGGGUUCUGUCUCGUGACGUAGGGAUAAAUUAGAAUUGGGUCACUAUACUUAAUGUGAGUGCAUUAUAUAACCCAGGAAUGAUACCCAAAAUAUAACAACUCUCCUAAAACACCCCUGAUACCCUACACUUCCUAAAAUACACCUCGUAUGUGAAAACCGAGCCUGAAAUACAAUAUAGCAUUAAAAAUAAAUUAAAAACAAGAAAAAGUAAGUUGAGGCGGGCCGCGUAGACCCACCCCAAACCUUACGCGGGCGGUAUGAAGGUUUAAACCUGAAUUCGUUGAUUCUUUAAGGUCAGGCGGGCCGCGUAGAAAUCCCCGUUAGUUAACGCGGGCCGCGAGGGACUAAAAAGGUGGCACGGCCCGGUGCGGCCACGUGGCCCAACACCCGGCAAACCUACUCAAUGACUCAGCCCAGCUACGCAUUGACCGGAGGUCAACGCGGGCCGCGUAAGCCCUACCCAUGUGUUACGCGGGCCGCGAGAGAGUCAAGUUCAGCAACUAUAUAAGCAGGCCAUCGGGUUUCAUUCAGAAUUCGUUCACGAUCGUUUCUUUCUCUCAAAAUCUGAAUAUUAGGCAAUAUAAGCGGGUAUUAUACCCCCUAAUUAGCGAAGCUCUGCCUCGUUACUAUAACCAGGGAAUCACAAAGGAAAGCCCUAUAAUAGCAAUGUAACUUAGUAGGAAGCCAAUAAAAGCCAGCUGGAGAGCACUGAAGGCUUGGAAAAGUGGCAAUAAAGUUACCUAAAAUAAAAUAGAUGUUUUUAUUAAAUAAAAUAGGAUUUAUUCCUAUGAAAAUGUAUGUACUGCAAAACUUGGGUUUUAUCCCAUACUAUAACCAGGGAAUCACAAAGGAAAGCCCUAUAAUAGCAAUGUAACUUAGUAGGAAGCCAAUAAAAGCCAGCUGGAGAGCACUGAAGGCUUGGAAAAGUGGCAAUAAAGUUACCUAAAAUAAAAUAGAUGUUUUUAUUAAAUAAAAUAGGAUUUAUUCCUAUGAAAAUGUAUGUACUGCAAAACUUGGGUUUUAUCCCAUGUGUUUAAUAUUAUGAAAAUAUGGUGGUUUUACUCUGAUAAAAUAUUUCCUAACUACGGUCCUGAUGAAAAUUUCCGCUGCCAAAUUGGACAAUAACCAGAUACCACCGAAACUGGUCACGCCCGCCCGUUCCUGAGGGAUCGGGGGUUGUGACAGCAGAAACUGCCCCAAAACUGGCGAAUUGUGGAGAUAAUGGGGGUAACCACCACUGAAGAAAACUGUAAAGAACCGC